Molecule: ribosomal RNA, 480 nt
Filed under: uncultured bacterium
Lineage: Bacteria
Description: bacterial SSU rRNA
Rfam family: Bacterial small subunit ribosomal RNA
Source: RNAcentral
AAUCAACGCUGGCGGCGUGCCUCAGACAUGCAAGUCGAACGAUUAAAGCUCCCUUCGGGGAGUGCAUAAAGUGGCGCACGGGUGAGUAACACGUAAGUAAUCUACCCUCGGGUGGGGAAUAACAUCGGGAAACCGAUGCUAAUACCGCAUAAUGCAGCGGCACCGCAAGGUGACAGUUGUUAAAGAUUUAUUGCCUGGGGAGGAGCUUGCGGCAGAUUAGCUGUUGGUAAGGUAACGGCUUACCAAGGCUACGAUCUGUAUCCGGUCUAAGAGGACGGUCGGACACACUGACACUGAAUAACGGGUCAGACUCCUACGGGAGGCAGCAGUCGGGAAUUUUGGGCAAUGGGGGAAACCCUGACCCAGCAACGCCGCGUGAAGGAUGAAGUUAUUUCGGUAUGUAAACUUCGAAAGAAUAGGAAGAAUUAAUGACGGUACUAUUUAUAAGGUCCGGCUAACUACGUGCCAGCAGCCGCAAGU